AUAUAUCGUGCUCCCCAUUAUAGAAAUCUUCUUUCUUGCGUAAUGGAAGAUUCAUCUGACAGAAUAAUAACUGUGCAUUAAGAUAGGGCAAGAG
This is a non-coding RNA of Tinamus guttatus (white-throated tinamou), 94 nucleotides long. Lineage: Eukaryota; Metazoa; Chordata; Aves; Tinamiformes; Tinamidae. The record is from RefSeq and is a predicted model, not a curated record.